CAAUCUAUUUCUCCUCGUAAGUUUCACAUAGCACCACAACCACAUAUAAUUCCAGUGUCGUUCUAUUUUCACAUAGACCAACAAUUCCAAACCGAUUUCCCAAAAUCCAAAAGAUCUAAAUAUGGUUCCACAUAGAAGUUGGAUAACUCGAUUUAGGACAUAAACUCGAUGCGAAACCAAGAAACCACUAGAGUAAACCAAAUUAAAAUCCGCAACCCGCAACAUUCAACAUAAAGAUUUAUAAGUUACUAACCAUACAAUAUAAAGAUUUAAAUAUAGAACUUUUAUUUAACCGAUUGUUAGAACUUCUUCAUGUUUAUUGGUGAGUUUGGGUGGGUUUCACCUCAUUAAAAAAAUGAAAAGAAAAUAAAUUUGGACAGAAAAUGGGUUGGAUCGUAUCAGUCCAUUGAGUUUUCUGGAUCGGUUCAGUUCCACAGAUGUCACCUUCUGAGUGGAGGAAAAAAAAUUAAUCGGGAAGAAUGACUAGCUCUGAUCAAUCUCCGUCGCACAACGUCUUCGUCUACGGCAGUUUCCAAGAACCAGCCGUCGUAAGUUUGAUUCUUGAAUGUUCUCCGGUCAUCGUCUCUGCUCAACUCCACGGCUAUCACUUGUAUAGACUCAAAGGACGUUUGCAUCCAUGUAUUUCUCCUUCUGAGAAUGGAGUAAUCAACGGCAAGGUUUUGAUUCCAUCUCCUUCUUUUACAAGAAAAAUUAGGGGUUUGAAUCAACAAAUUGGGGUUUUCUUGUUUUAGUCAUUUUAAUUUCUGAAGCUGUAAACGUUGUUUCUUGAUUUGGUUGAUUCAACAUGUGGAUCACAAAACCUGAAGUUAAGGGGUUGAUGUUUUGGUGUAGAUACUAACUGGAUUAACAAAUGUACAAGUUAAGCAAAGUAGGACAAGCCAUUGAGAACAA
Long non-coding RNA from Arabidopsis lyrata subsp. lyrata, 912 nucleotides. RefSeq lists it as uncharacterized. Lineage: Eukaryota; Viridiplantae; Streptophyta; Magnoliopsida; Brassicales; Brassicaceae. The record is from RefSeq and is a predicted model, not a curated record. The transcript is spliced from 2 exons.